Molecule: ribosomal RNA, 460 nt
Filed under: uncultured bacterium
Lineage: Bacteria
Description: partial 16S ribosomal RNA
Rfam family: Bacterial small subunit ribosomal RNA
Source: RNAcentral
CCUACGGGCGGCUGCAGUGAGGAAUAUUGGUCAAUGGACGAGAGGCUGAACCAGCCAAGUAGCGUGAAGGAUGACUGCCCUAUGGGUUGUAAACUUCUUUUAUAAAGGAAUAAAACGAGGCACGUGUGCCUUUUUGCAUGUACUUUAUGAAUAAGGAUCGGCUAACUCCGUGCCAGCAGCCGCGGUAAUACGGAGGAUCCGAGCGUUAUCCGGAUUUAUUGGGUUUAAAGGGAGCGUAGAUGGGUUGUUAAGUCAGUUGUGAAAGUUUGCGGCUCAACCGUAAAAUUGCAAUUGAUACUGGCAGUCUUGAGUACACUUGAGGUAGGCGGAAUUCGUGGUGUAGCGGUGAAAUGCUUAGAUAUCACGAAGAACCCUGAUUGCGAAGGCAGCUUACUAACCUGUGACUGACAUUGAUGCUCGAAAGUGUGGGUAUCAAACAGGAUUAGAUACCCUUGUAGUC